UACGUAGGGCGCAAGCGUUGUCCGGAAUUAUUGGGCGUAAAGAGCUCGUAGGCGGCUUGUCACGUCGGGUGUGAAAGCCCGGGGCUUAACCCCGGGUCUGCAUUCGAUACGGGCUGGCUAGAGUGUGGUAGGGGAGAUCGGAAUUCCUGGUGUAGCGGUGAAAUGCGCAGAUAUCAGGAGGAACACCGGUGGCGAAGGCGGAUCUCUUGGCCAUUACUGACGCUGAGGAGCGAAAGCGUGGGGAGCGAACAGG
RNAcentral lists this ribosomal RNA (253 nucleotides) under uncultured bacterium. RNAcentral's name for it is "partial 16S ribosomal RNA". It matches the Rfam family "Bacterial small subunit ribosomal RNA", at positions 524 to 776 of the family's 1533-position model. The record is from RNAcentral.